This is a long non-coding RNA of Cyprinus carpio carpio, 3635 nucleotides long. Lineage: Eukaryota; Metazoa; Chordata; Actinopteri; Cypriniformes; Cyprinidae. The record is from Ensembl.
CCAAUACAACCUCAUGCGUAACACACAGUAUGCACACAUUAUGUAAAGAAAAACUUUUAUUUUAGAUGCAAUUAAUCGCGAGUAAUUGUUUGACAGCACUAAUAUACUGUAUAUAUACUGCAAUUUGCAACUGCAUAGCAACUAAACACAUUAUGUAGUGUUGAGUUUGCAUGUGCAAGCCCUUUUUUUUCAGGUAAUUUUAAAUCACAUUGAAUACGUUUUUGCAUCUACUUUUAUGAAUUUAAUUGCAUGAAUUAAUUUAGUUUAUGAAUUAUGAAUUGUCUUUCUCUCCUGAAAGACUUUCUGUCUUUCUCUCCUCCUACAUGGAGUAAUAAAGGAACACUUAAGGUCCCAUUUGUUAACCAACAUUAACCAAUGAGCAUUGCAUUUGUUAUAGUAUUUAUUCAUCUUUGUUCAUUUUAGUUCAUGUUAGCGAAGGUCCAUUAAAUGUUAACAGAUACAAAUUUUCAAUUGUAUUAAUAUAUUAGUCAGUGCUGAAAUUAACAUUAGGAUUUAUACAAGUAUUUUUCAUUUUUAGGUUAUGUUGCCGAAUGUAGUUAACUAAUGUCAACAUAUGGAACCUUACUGAAAAUUGCACUUAAAACAGGAUCAAUAUGUUCUCCAGCCUCAUGUGAAUGGCACAUUUACUCAACACUCAACCUCAGACUCUUAAAGGACAAGUUAGGCAAGCUUUGAUGCUUUAUCAGGAUUCACUUUGUUUGAUGUGACCUGUUUCAAAAUGAGCAAGUGUUGAAACCUCUGCGUUCAGUUCUUCAUGUUAACCCUUUCUAGUGUACACUGGUAUUCAGAGCUCGCGUGUCAUGCUUCCACUCGAAAUAGUUUUGUUUCCACCUUCAAAGACAGGGACUUCACAUGUCUGUCGCACACUAAGUGAUACCCACAUCAGCUUUGUCUGAUUAUUUGGAUUGUCCAAUGACAUCAUUUUUAUACAAAAUUGGAUUUAAUUUAUUUUUACAUUAAUGCAUCAAAAUAAGUUUAGCAAUUUCAACUUUUUUAUAUUAUACUUAAGGCAGCGUCUGAAUUUAAGAUUCUAAGCUGAAUUGUUGUUUAUUAUUUUAAGUAGUUAAAUUUGUUUAAUUUUACAUUUUUAUGAUCUUUUCGUGGUAUAAUGUCAUGUUUAAUACACUUUAUGAUAUUGAUAAAGAACAACAUAUAUUUUCUUACUAGUUAGGGCAAUAGUAAUCUAAAAAUAAUCAAAAGUCUGAAUACAUUUGCUAAUAUGUGUAAUCCAACAGAUUACUUUACGAACUACUAUUUUCAUAAUGAAUUAUCAGUAAUGAACUACAAGUGAUCUGCCCAGCACUGGUCUUAAAUCAGUGUGAACAGAACAAGGUUUGAACAAAAUAUGUUUUAAAAGAGAAUGGCUAAUUAUAAUUUUUACACAUAAUUUUGUGUGAUUUUUUUUUUUUUUAACAAUAAAAUAAAUUCCAAAAUUCAUUAAUUCAACUGAAAUGCAUAAGCUGAAAUAAAACAAUUACACCAAGUAAAUUAAAGCUAAAUAGAAAUGUAAAAAAGCAUAUUAAUUAAAUAAGUAAAUGAUGAAAGUGGAUAGCAAUGACUAAAGCCUAAACUAAAAUAAAAAAAAAAUAAAAAAAUUCAAAAUAAUAAACAGUGUUGGGGUAAUGCAGUACAAGUAAAGCGAGUUACGUAAUCAGAUUACUUUUUUCAAGUAACUAGUAAAGUAACGCAUUACUUUUUAAAUUUACAACAAAAAUAUCUAAGCUACUAACACAAGUUACUUUGUUUUCCCAUUUAUUCACUGACAGCAGCAAUCAGGAGUGAGGUGAAGAGGCACUUCCUUCAGACUGAGGCUUGUUCAUUUCACUUUUGCACCCUGGCGCCAUUAUGGAGAGUAUCACGAUGCAUGCCUUGAACAUCGGAGUACCCUUGCUCUCUAUGGAGGGUCAGAAAGCUCUCGGAUUUCGUCAAAAAUAUCUUAAUUUGUGUUUCAAAGAUGAACAAAGGUCUUACGGGUUUGGAACGACAUGAGGGGUGGGCUUGAAUGAAAAAAGACUGUCCUCCGCUGAAGUUGUCUUAAGUUGAACUGGUUCUGGGAAGCCUCUGUCUCAGGUGUACGUGGAGCUGAAAAACAGCUUGUGUUCUUGUGAGGGCAGGGAGAGCGUGGAUCACGACACGCUUCUCUCUCAGUCAUCUCCAUUGACAGCGGUUGCUAUGCACAGGACGAGACUGAGAGAUGGUCAUGCGCUUCAGCUGGUACACAUGAAUGAACAUGUCCAUUAUGACCCUGCUGUUACAUACACUCUCAGCCAAUCAUGCAGAUCUUAAAACAGAGUGUACAACCGAAUAUAGCUGCACAUAAACAGCAAUCUAAUGAACAUUCAAAGAGUUCCUUCUCCCCUCACAUCAAAAAAAAAAAAUAAAAAAAAUAAUACAAUAAUAAAAUUCAAAGAUGUAACCGUUAAUAUUAAUUAAUCGACCUGACAAUUUAAUUAAUGUUAACAAAGAUUAAUUCAUAUCGCUCAUUGUUGGUUAAUGCAUUAAUUAACAUUUACUAAUAGACCUCAUUGUAAAGUGUUUCCCAUUUUGCUUGAAGAAACUGAAGCCUAUUUUUAGCACUAUUAAUGAAACUCUUAAACUCUCAUUAUUGAUUCUCAUUACUGUAGCCCAAUAAAAACAAACAAACAGUAUAUUAAUUGAAUUUGAUAGCAUUUAUACGUAAUCGUAUUUGUUUUACAACUUUCAAUUUUUUCUGAAUUAACACAUUUUUUAAUCGUGGUAUUUUUACUGUAAUACAAUAAAAGAUUAUAUUAGAGAAUCUGCGGUAAUCAUAACUUAGAUUUAUGAAAAUUAUAAAUAAAUGAAUAAGACAUCAAAAGACAAUAUCUUAAUGGUCUUAGGCCUCCUUUUUUGUUUAUACUAAAUAAACACAUAUUGAUUUAUUUUUGGUGAAACACUCAGAAAGACUUCACUGAUUUGUUGUUACCAUCGUGUGAGACUUUAGGCGGUUAUUCAGGACAUGUUCUUAUUGAAUAAUACGAUAUCUUUGACAUAAUAAAUGGGUUUUAAUUUAAUGUUUUAGUGCUAGUGGAAAUUUUGGAGAUACAUUUUUUUUUUUUUUACAAGUUGAUUUAUUUCUAAAACUCUUUCACCCAAAACACAUUUUAAUUGAGCUGUUUAAAGAGAACAGAUGAUUGUCUUGUACAGUCUGCAGUGAUAGGUCUUUGCUUGCCUCAUGAGUUACAUAAUCACGCUGAAAUGCCUCACUUUUACAAGUUUGAGCUGAAUUGAAGAGUUGACCUGCUGUAGGGUUCCUGCGGAGAAACAACAUCUGCACUCGAGUACUUACACGUUCAUGUUACCUCUGUCUGUCAGAGCAGGGCAUCAGUUCAUUUUAUCCAUUACCUUUGUCAACUAACACAGACAAACAAACCUUUCAGAAAUACAACAAUCUCUCUGCUCCCACUCUCAGACCGAACAAAACGAGUUGGGAUUGAUCUGUGUAAAUCAUUUAUCAUUGAUCCAGGGUUUCUCUGCGUCUUGUUGAGUCCCAGAUGGAUUCAGCUGACAAUACUGAUUGUGUUGAAGAAUGAGUCCCUUCUGCCGACCACUGAUUUAAGUUUAUUUUCUGUUCCCUUACGCAAUGAAAGUGUGUG